This 74-nucleotide transfer RNA is filed under the name Acropyga fuhrmanni. RNAcentral's name for it is "tRNA-Glu". The record is from RNAcentral. Lineage: Eukaryota; Metazoa; Arthropoda; Insecta; Hymenoptera; Formicidae.
AUUUUUAUAGUUUAUUAUAAAACAUUAUAUUUUCAUUAUAAAAAAAAUAAUUUUUUAUAAUUUAUUUAAAAAUA